Molecule: ribosomal RNA, 445 nt
Filed under: uncultured bacterium
Lineage: Bacteria
Description: bacterial SSU rRNA
Rfam family: Bacterial small subunit ribosomal RNA
Source: RNAcentral
CGCUGGGCGGCGUGCUAACACAUGCAAUUCGAGCGGACCGCAGCAAUGCGGUCAGCGGCGGACGGGUGAUUAUCACGUGAGCAAUCUGCCCCCGACAUCGGGAUACCGACCGGAAACGGUCGCUAAUACCGGAUAAGACCACGUAUCCGCAUGGGUACGGGGUAAAAGGGAUUACCGGUUGGGGAUGAGCUCGCGUCCCAUUAGCUAGUUGGCGGUGUAACGGACCACCAAGGCGACGAUGGGUAGCCGACCUGAGAGGGUGAUCGGCCACACUGGAACUGAGAGACGGUCCAGACUCCUACGGGAGGCAGCAGUGGGGAAUAUUGGGCAAUGGGCGAAAGCCUGACCCAUCAACGCCGCGUGAAGGAAGAAGGUCUUCGGAUUGUAAACUUCUGUUGUGGAGGAAGAAGAAUGACAGUACUCCAUGAGGAACCCCGGCAAACUA